Mus musculus (house mouse) is the source of this 1075-nucleotide RNA transcript. It is a transcript of the gene named lymphocyte antigen 6 family member G6D, with no coding region annotated. Lineage: Eukaryota; Metazoa; Chordata; Mammalia; Rodentia; Muridae. The transcript has 5 exons. The record is from RefSeq and is marked validated.
AUUCUUCUGCUGUUACAGCAGCUUCCGCGGAACCCUCCCCUACUGUUUGUGCCACUCUCCCGAGCUGGGACGUGCCCUGGAUACUGGUGCUGUUGUUCACAGCAGGCCAAGGGGUCACCAUCAUAGCCCUCAGCAUAGUGCUCUGGAGGCGGCGGAGGGCCCAGGGGUCUCGGGACAGAGAACCCUCAGUUCCUCAUUUCAAGCCUGAAGUCCAGGUCUAUGAGAACAUCCACUUGGCCCGCCUUAGCCCACCUAACCACAAGACCAGGUGAUCCUGGAGAUAUCUGCGUGGAAAAGCCUGACCCACAGUCCUGUGUCUCUAGCCACUGGCACCUGAAGGAUUCCCUGGAACUUUGGCCAAGGGGUGGCUGAGGGUGUGACUCGUACUGGGCUUCCAAGAGCCACCAAGCUGGAGGGGCCAGGGACAACAUAAGGAAGCAGUAACAUCGUUCUGUGAUGUCACCUACAAAAAAAGGACUCCUCCAAGGGCCGGAUCCAGUACCUCUUCUUUCCUGCCAGGACACCGCACGCGGUGCUAUGACUGCGGUGGAGGCCCCAGCAACUCCUGCAAGCAGACAGUGAUCACUUGUGGUGAGGGCGAGCGCUGCGGCUUCCUGGACCGCAAACCUCAACCCAGCUCGGAGCAAGCCAAGCAACCCUCCGCGACCUUGAGCCAUCACUACCCAGCCUGCGUGGCCACGCAUCAUUGCAAUCAAGUGGCCAUAGAGUCAGUGGGAGACGUGACUUUCACAACCCAGAAAAACUGCUGUUUUGGAGAUCUGUGCAACAGCGCCGUGGCAAGCUCCGUGACCCCCUUGUGCAUCUUGGCUGCAGCUGUUACCACCCUGGCCUGGCUCUUGCCAGGACUGUAGAGCUGGAGGGUGGGACCGAGGGCAGGGUAAGGACUGAAGGACCAAGGGAGUGAGGGAGCUGGACAUCUAAGGUAAGAAGACAAACACUCCCUUGUGUGCCGUUAAAAUUGAUGAACUAUUCUAGAGAGGACUGUAAAAAUAUUUGUUUUUCAUUCUUUGAGGCAAGGUGCUGGGAUUAAAGGUGUGAGCCACCACUACCGAAA